Molecule: long non-coding RNA, 89 nt
Organism: Lates calcarifer (barramundi perch)
Lineage: Eukaryota; Metazoa; Chordata; Actinopteri; Centropomidae
Exons: 2
Source: RefSeq, a predicted model, not a curated record
AGACCCUCAUCAGAAUCAGAGAUGUUUGUGAUCAGCAGGUCAUAGGAAUGAGAAGAAAAGUUCCUCAAAAAUUGAAAACGAGGGAAAAA